RNAcentral lists this ribosomal RNA (411 nucleotides) under uncultured bacterium. Its description in RNAcentral is "bacterial SSU rRNA". It matches the Rfam family "Bacterial small subunit ribosomal RNA", at positions 505 to 916 of the family's 1533-position model. The record is from RNAcentral.
GUGUCAGCCGCCGCGGUAAUACGUAGGGUGCAAGCGUUAAUCGGAAUUACUGGGCGUAAAGCGUGCGCAGGCGGCUUUGCAAGACAGAUGUGAAAUCCCCGGGCUCAACCUGGGAACUGCAUUUGUGACUGCAAGGCUAGAGUACGGCAGAGGGGGAUGGAAUUCCGCGUGUAGCAGUGAAAUGCGUAGAUAUGCGGAGGAACACCAAUGGCGAAGGCAAUCCCCUGGGCCUGUACUGACGCUCAUGCACGAAAGCGUGGGGAGCAAACAGGAUUAGAUACCCUGGUAGUCCACGCCCUAAACGAUGUCAACUGGUUGUUGGACGGCUUGCUGUUCAGUAACGAAGCUAACGCGAUAAGCAUCCCACCUGGGGAGUACGGCCGCAAGGUUGAAACUUAAAGGAAUUGACGG